Molecule: long non-coding RNA, 244 nt
Filed under: Elaeis guineensis (African oil palm)
Lineage: Eukaryota; Viridiplantae; Streptophyta; Magnoliopsida; Arecales; Arecaceae
Description: long non-coding RNA (EGUI_LNC028984)
Source: RNAcentral
CUAUUUUUUAGUCCGAUUUUCGAUAAGAUAUGGAGUCAGAGAGAUACGUGGAGAUCAACAACUCAUCCGACGUUGCUUCCUUGUCUCCACCCAAAAUAAUAAAUCUAAAGACUCUUUGCUUGUUGAUAAAUUAGACCAAAGAGAAAAUCAGAAAAUGGGUGAACCAGCUGAAUAACUGGUUUUCAUCCCGUUAAAAGAAGAAGAUCCCAAAAAAAUGGUUCGAAUUGGAUCACAAUUAUCCGAC